This 1552-nucleotide ribosomal RNA is filed under the name uncultured bacterium. RNAcentral's name for it is "bacterial SSU rRNA". It matches the Rfam family "Bacterial small subunit ribosomal RNA". The record is from RNAcentral.
AGAGUUUGAUUCUGGCUCAGAACGAACGCUGGCAGUGGAUUAGGCAUGCAAGUCGAACGGGACUUCAGCGGUAGAAUAACAUUGAAGUCUAGUGGCGGAAGGGUGAGUAACACACGGGCAACCUGCCUCAAGUUGGGGAUAACACUCCGGAAGGUCGUAAAUACCGAAUGUGGUCGUGGCGCUCAUCAGUCGAUCUAAAGCUGGGGAUCGCAAGACCUGGCGCUUAAGGAUGGGCCCAUGUCCUAUCAGCUUGUUGGUGAGGUAACGGCUCACCAAGGCUUACGGGUAGCUGGUCUGAGAGGAUGGUCAGCCACACUGGGACUGAGACACUGCCCAGACUCCUACGGGAGGCUGCAGUCGAGGAUCAUUCGCAAUGGGCGAAAGCGUGACGGUGCGACGCUGCGUGCAGGAUGAAGGUCUUCGGAUUGUAAACUGCUGUCAUGAGGGAGCAAUGAGCGGUGCCUAAAUACCGCAUCGAAGUGAUAGUACCUCAAGAGGAAGCCACGGCUAACUCUGUGCCAGCAGCCGCGGUAAUACAGAGGCGGCGAGCGUUGUUCGGAUUUACUGGGCGUAAAGGGUGCGUAGCGGGUUCUGCGUGUCGGAUGUGAAAUGCCAUCACUCAACGAUGGAAUGGCAUUCGAAACUGCAGGGCUAGAGUACAGGAGAGGAGAGCGGAAUUCUCGGUGUAGCGGUGAAAUGCGUAGAUAUCGAGAGGAACACCGGCGGCGAAGGGCUUCUCUGGACUGUUACUGACGCUGAGGCACGAAAGCUGGGGGAGCAAACAGGAUUAGAUACCCUGGUAGUCCCAGCCCUAAACGGUGUACACUUGGUGUUGGGGGGAUUGUCCUCUCAGCGCCGAACACGUAACGCGUUAAGUGUACCGCCUGGGGAGUACGGUCGCAAGAUUAAAACUCAAAGGAAUUGACGGGGGCCCGCACAAGCGGUGGAGCAUGUGGCUUAAUUCGAUGCAACGCGAAGAACCUUACCUGGGUUUGACAUGUGGCUGGAUGCCGGGAAACCGGGGAGGCUUUCGAGGCUGCCACACAGGUGCUGCAUGGCUGUCGUCAGCUCGUGCCGUGAGGUGUUAGGUUAAGUCCUGCAACGAGCGCAACCCCUGUGGUUAGUUGCCACGUUCGAUGAUGAAUCGGACAGCACUCUAAUCAGACUGCCUGUGAUAAGCAGGAGGAAGGUGGGGAUGACGUCAAGUCAGUAUGGUCCUUAUAUCCAGGGCUGCACACGUGCUACAAUGAUCAGUACAGAAGGACGCAAAGCCGCGAGGUGGAGCAAAUCCCCAAAACUGAUCACAGUUCAGAUUGGAGUCUGCAACUCGACUCCAUGAAGCUGGAAUCGCUAGUAAUGGCGCAUCAGCUACGGUGCCGUGAAUACGUUCCCGGGCCUUGUACACACCGCCCGUCACAUCAUGGGAGUCGAUUGCACCCGAAGUCACUCAUCCAACCUCACGGGAGGUAGGUGCCUAAGGUGCGAUUGAUGACUGGGAUGAAGUCGUAACAAGGUAGCCGUAGGGGAACUGCGGCUGGAUCACCUCCUUUAU